This 244-nucleotide ribosomal RNA is filed under the name uncultured bacterium. RNAcentral describes it as "partial 16S ribosomal RNA". It matches the Rfam family "Bacterial small subunit ribosomal RNA", at positions 532 to 775 of the family's 1533-position model. The record is from RNAcentral.
GUCCAAGCGUUAUCCGGAUUUAUUGGGUUUAAAGGGUACGUAGGCGGAAGAUUAAGUCAGUAGUGAAAGCCUCCCGCUCAACGGGAGAAUUGCUAUUGAUACUGCAGGACUUGAAUUACUGUGAAGUAACUAGAAUAUGUAGUGUAGCGGUGAAAUGCUUAGAUAUUACAUGGAAUACCAAUUGCGAAGGCAGGUUACUAACAUUAUAUUGACGCUGAUGGACGAAAGCGUGGGUAGCGAACAG